Long non-coding RNA from Serinus canaria (Common canary), 457 nucleotides. RefSeq lists it as uncharacterized. The record is from RefSeq and is a predicted model, not a curated record. NCBI's taxonomy places the organism in Eukaryota, Metazoa, Chordata, Aves, Passeriformes, Fringillidae. The transcript is spliced from 3 exons.
GGGAGUGACCGGGCUUUAUUUCUCUGCCACAGCACAGAAGGCUUGGUAGAAAGAUUCAUUGAAGUACAAAGAGGAUAUAAUUAGCCUCCCAAAUUACUCCAAACCUGCUGCUGCCUCACUUCAGCUGACUAAAGAUCACUUUAUGACCAGGAGAUAACAGUUUUAUGUGUUUGGGCUAUUCCCAAGUGCUGCUGGUCAAAUCUGCCCCUCGGUCAGAUCUUCUAGAAAUACAAGCUGUGAGUUCCUUGUCCUGAUGAUGAGAACUGCUAAUCACCCAAGGAGCCUUUGUGGGUGUGAGUCAAGCCAGGAGAGCUCUGUCUUUGUUUGACGUAAUUCUUCCAGAGGAAGGGUUGGAAAGCCAGGAAGGAGGUGAAGUUUCUGACACAUCCCUGCUCUCUGCACGUGUCCCACCAGAUUUCGUGGCAGCUCAGGAACGGACCCAGAGGAUUAUGGUAAC